RNAcentral lists this ribosomal RNA (245 nucleotides) under uncultured bacterium. Its description in RNAcentral is "partial 16S ribosomal RNA". It matches the Rfam family "Bacterial small subunit ribosomal RNA", at positions 524 to 768 of the family's 1533-position model. The record is from RNAcentral.
UACGUAGGUGGCGAGCGUUGUCCGGAAUUAUUGGGCGUAAAGGGCGUGUAGGCGGCUAUUUAAGUCAGACGUGAAAGCCCUGGGCUUAACCCAGGAAUUGCGUUUGAAACUGGAUGGCUUGAGGACCGGAGAGGGUAGUGGAAUUCCCAGUGUAGCGGUGAAAUGCGUAGAUAUUGGGAGGAACACCAGUGGCGAAGGCGACUGCCUGGACGGCACCUGACGCUGAGGCGCGAAAGCUAGGGGAG